UAGGGAAUCUUCGGCAAUGGGGGCAACCCUGACCGAGCAACGCCGCGUGAGUGAAGAAGGUUUUCGGAUCGUAAAGCUCUGUUGUAAGAGAAGAACGUGUGUGAGAGUGGAAAGUUCACACAGUGACGGUAACUUACCAGAAAGGGACGGCUAACUACGUGCCAGCAGCCGCGGUAAUACGUAGGUCCCGAGCGUUGUCCGGAUUUAUUGGGCGUAAAGCGAGCGCAGGCGGUUUAAUAAGUCUGAAGUUAAAGGCAGUGGCUUAACCAUUGUUCGCUUUGGAAACUGUUAAACUUGAGGGCAGAAGGGGAGAGUGGAAUUACAUGUGUAGCGGUGAAAUGCGUAGAUAUAUGGAGGAACACCGGUGGCGAAAGCGGCUCUCUGGUCUGUAACUGACGCUGAGGCUCGAAAGCGUGGGGAGCAAACAGG
This 429-nucleotide ribosomal RNA is filed under the name bacterium. Its description in RNAcentral is "partial 16S ribosomal RNA". It matches the Rfam family "Bacterial small subunit ribosomal RNA", at positions 355 to 776 of the family's 1533-position model. The record is from RNAcentral.